RNAcentral lists this transfer RNA (74 nucleotides) under Lycodon ruhstrati. RNAcentral's name for it is "tRNA-Leu". It matches the Rfam family "tRNA". Rfam says of the family: Transfer RNA (tRNA) molecules are approximately 80 nucleotides in length. Their secondary structure includes four short double-helical elements and three loops (D, anti-codon, and T loops). The record is from RNAcentral. Lineage: Eukaryota; Metazoa; Chordata; Lepidosauria; Squamata; Colubridae.
AUUAAGGUAGCAAAGCCAGGGCCAUGCAAAAGGCUUAAAACCUCAACACAGAUGUUCAAAUCAUCUCCUUAAUA